ACAAACUUGGUCAUUUAGAGGAAGUAAAAGUCGUAACAAGGUUUCCGUAGGUGAACCUGCGGAAGGAUCAUUACAGUGGUUUAUUCGACGCCCGGAAGCGGGGAAGACGUCGGUUACCUGACCUUUGUCAUGUGCGAGAGGGGCGAGCUUUUGGCGAGCGAUCGCGAGAGAAAGCCCCUGACAAGAUUUCCCAGGAGGAGUUGCGGAAGCGACCGCCUGGGGCAGUUUUUUAACAAUACUUGCGAAACGGUGUGAAGUCUGAAUGAGAAGUACAAUUAAAGCAAAACUUUCAACAACGGAUCUCUUGGCUCUGGCAUCGAUGAAGAACGCAGC
RNAcentral lists this unclassified non-coding RNA (333 nucleotides) under uncultured fungus. Its description in RNAcentral is "partial contains small subunit ribosomal RNA, internal transcribed spacer 1, and 5.8S ribosomal RNA". The stretch from base 1 to 73 matches the Rfam family "Eukaryotic small subunit ribosomal RNA", at positions 1759 to 1831 of the family's 1831-position model. The record is from RNAcentral. Lineage: Eukaryota; Fungi.